This 253-nucleotide ribosomal RNA is filed under the name uncultured bacterium. RNAcentral's name for it is "partial 16S ribosomal RNA". It matches the Rfam family "Bacterial small subunit ribosomal RNA", at positions 524 to 776 of the family's 1533-position model. The record is from RNAcentral.
UACGUAGGGGGCGAGCGUUGUCCGGAGUUACUGGGCGUAAAGGGCACGCAGGCGGUGCGGCGCGUUUCGCGUGACAGCGGAGGGCUUAACUCUCCGAGGAUGCGAAAGACGGCGGCACUUGAGGGCCAGAGAGGGACACGGAAUUCCGGGUGGAGUGGUGAAAUGCGUAGAGAUCCGGAGGAACACCGAAGGCGAAGGCAGUGUCCUGGCUGGUGACUGACGCUGAGGAGCGAAAGUGUGGGGAGCGAACAGG